GCUGGGCCUCUGCGCCUGCGCAGAUGCGCUGACCCGGAAGACACAGGGACAAAAGAGGGAAUUGUUUCAGAACUGGAAGAGAAUGACCCGGCCAGCACCUGCACAAGACUCCACACUGCAAAGGCUAACCCAGAUCAGUUGGCAGGGGAGGGAGCGGUGGUUACUGGGCAGAGUGCAGGGUCCUUGGAGAUUCUACAUUCAGCCACUAGAUGGUGAAGCACACAGGAGAAAAACCCACAUGGAGCCCCAAUCCAAUCAGCCCUCAUCAGACUUCACUGACAGCAAGUUUUGCAAGGUACCUGGGAGUCAGUUUCUGAAGAUGCAAGCUCUCUAACAAGGGCAAAACUACUGAAGUCGUCAAAUCGGUCAAAGGAACUCUGGCUGAACUGGUUCCAGCCAGCUUUCAAGGCAGCUGUCCCAAGUUAAGCACAAAGAAGGGGAGGGGAAAGAGGGCGCCUGAGGUCCUGAGCACUUGAUGUACCCCAAGCUGUGUUGUGAGCUUCAGGACAUGGGCUCAUCUACACCUCACAGAAAUCCUGUGGCAGGAGUCUCUGCUGGUAACUGAGCGGGAACAAGGCUCACGUUAAAUCCAAGGUCAGAGCUAGAGUGUGGGGAGCCAAGACUCAACACAAGUCUGACCCCAAAGCUUGUGCUUUUCCUAGCGUUCCCACAAAUCACUUACGAUUUCUAUUGAAAUAGAAUCUUUGCUUGAUCUUUCCAGGAAACUGUCCAACCAAUUGGUAUCUUUGGAAAGGCUGGGCUGGAUCUUCCCUAGCAAGGCCUUCCACCUGCAACUUUUUUUUCUCCAGCCAUUUCUCUCUUUGACCAGACUACAUAAGGAAGCAGGAAACCUUCCUCUUCUUCUUCUUCUUCUUUUUUUUGGCCAUGCUGAGCAGCUUUCAGUAUCUUGGUUCCCCAGCCAGGGACUGAACCCGGGCCACCACAAGUGAAGCACCGAGUCCUAACCACUGGACCGCCAGGGAACUCCCUGGGAAACGUUCUUCAAACCCUGUGAUUGAACUGGACAGGGAAUGGACUGCUGUCUGUAAGCAGCCAACAGCCAGCAGCUUUUCAGAGUUACUUAGUGGGCAAAUUUGUUAACUUUGCUUUAUUUCUCUGUAUGUUUACAUUAAAAAGAAAUUCACACAAAUAAAACAGCUCGAUAAAAAGUA
This is a long non-coding RNA of Balaenoptera ricei (Rice's whale), 1172 nucleotides long. RefSeq lists it as uncharacterized. The transcript is spliced from 2 exons. The record is from RefSeq and is a predicted model, not a curated record. NCBI's taxonomy places the organism in Eukaryota, Metazoa, Chordata, Mammalia, Artiodactyla, Balaenopteridae.